RNAcentral lists this ribosomal RNA (2920 nucleotides) under Klebsiella pneumoniae subsp. pneumoniae. RNAcentral's name for it is "bacterial LSU rRNA". It matches the Rfam family "Bacterial large subunit ribosomal RNA". The record is from RNAcentral. Lineage: Bacteria; Pseudomonadati; Pseudomonadota; Gammaproteobacteria; Enterobacterales; Enterobacteriaceae.
GGGUUGUGAGGUUAAGCGACUAAGCGUACACGGUGGAUGCCCUGGCAGUCAGAGGCGAUGAAGGACGUGCUAAUCUGCGAAAAGCGUCGGUAAGGUGAUAUGAACCGUUAUAACCGGCGAUGUCCGAAUGGGGAAACCCAGUGCAAUUCGUUGCACUAUCGUUAACUGAAUACAUAGGUUAACGAGGCGAACCGGGGGAACUGAAACAUCUAAGUACCCGAGGAAAAGAAAUCAACCGAGAUUCCCCAGUAGCGGCGAGCGAACGGGGAGCAGCCCAGAGUCUGAAUCAGCUUGUGUGUUAGUGGAACGGUCUGGAAAGUCCGACGGUACAGGGUGAUAGUCCCGUACACCAAAAUGCACAGGUUGUGAACUCGAAGAGUAGGGCGGGACACGUGGUAUCCUGUCUGAAUAUGGGGGGACCAUCCUCCAAGGCUAAAUACUCCUGACUGACCGAUAGUGAACCAGUACCGUGAGGGAAAGGCGAAAAGAACCCCGGCGAGGGGAGUGAAAAAGAACCUGAAACCGUGUACGUACAAGCAGUGGGAGCACCUUCGGGUGUGACUGCGUACCUUUUGUAUAAUGGGUCAGCGACUUAUAUUCUGUAGCAAGGUUAACCGUAUAGGGGAGCCGCAGGGAAACCGAGUCUUAACUGGGCGUUAAGUUGCAGGGUAUAGACCCGAAACCCGGUGAUCUAGCCAUGGGCAGGUUGAAGGUUGGGUAACACUAACUGGAGGACCGAACCGACUAAUGUUGAAAAAUUAGCGGAUGACUUGUGGCUGGGGGUGAAAGGCCAAUCAAACCGGGAGAUAGCUGGUUCUCCCCGAAAGCUAUUUAGGUAGCGCCUCGUGAACUCAUCUUCGGGGGUAGAGCACUGUUUCGGCUAGGGGUCAUCCCGACUUACCAACCCGAUGCAAACUACGAAUACCGAAGAAUGUUAUCACGGGAGACACACGGCGGGUGCUAACGUCCGUCGUGAAGAGGGAAACAACCCAGACCGCCAGCUAAGGUCCCAAAGUCAUGGUUAAGUGGGAAACGAUGUGGGAAGGCACAGACAGCCAGGAUGUUGGCUUAGAAGCAGCCAUCAUUUAAAGAAAGCGUAAUAGCUCACUGGUCGAGUCGGCCUGCGCGGAAGAUGUAACGGGGCUAAACCAUGCACCGAAGCUGCGGCAGCGACACUAUGUGUUGUUGGGUAGGGGAGCGUUCUGUAAGCCUGCGAAGGUGUGCUGUGAGGCAUGCUGGAGGUAUCAGAAGUGCGAAUGCUGACAUAAGUAACGAUAAAGCGGGUGAAAAGCCCGCUCGCCGGAAGACCAAGGGUUCCUGUCCAACGUUAAUCGGGGCAGGGUGAGUCGACCCCUAAGGCGAGGCCGAAAGGCGUAGUCGAUGGGAAACAGGUUAAUAUUCCUGUACUUGGUGUUACUGCGAAGGGGGGACGGAGAAGGCUAUGUUAGCCGGGCGACGGUUGUCCCGGUUUAAGCAUGUAGGCUGAUUGUCCAGGCAAAUCCGGAUAAUCAAGGCUGAGGUGUGAUGACGAGGCACUACGGUGCUGAAGUAACAAAUGCCCUGCUUCCAGGAAAAGCCUCUAAGCAUCAGGUAACAUUAAAUCGUACCCCAAACCGACACAGGUGGUCAGGUAGAGAAUACCAAGGCGCUUGAGAGAACUCGGGUGAAGGAACUAGGCAAAAUGGUGCCGUAACUUCGGGAGAAGGCACGCUGGUGUGUAGGUGAAGUCCCUGCGGAUGGAGCUGAGACCAGUCGAAGAUACCAGCUGGCUGCAACUGUUUAUUAAAAACACAGCACUGUGCAAACACGAAAGUGGACGUAUACGGUGUGACGCCUGCCCGGUGCCGGAAGGUUAAUUGAUGGGGUUAUCCGUAAGGAGAAGCUCUUGAUCGAAGCCCCGGUAAACGGCGGCCGUAACUAUAACGGUCCUAAGGUAGCGAAAUUCCUUGUCGGGUAAGUUCCGACCUGCACGAAUGGCGUAAUGAUGGCCAGGCUGUCUCCACCCGAGACUCAGUGAAAUUGAACUCGCUGUGAAGAUGCAGUGUACCCGCGGCAAGACGGAAAGACCCCGUGAACCUUUACUAUAGCUUGACACUGAACAUUGAGCCUUGAUGUGUAGGAUAGGUGGGAGGCUUUGAAGCGUGGACGCCAGUCUGCGUGGAGCCAACCUUGAAAUACCACCCUUUAAUGUUUGAUGUUCUAACGUUGGCCCCUGACCGGGGUUGCGGACAGUGUCUGGUGGGUAGUUUGACUGGGGCGGUCUCCUCCCAAAGCGUAACGGAGGAGCACGAAGGUUAGCUAAUCCUGGUCGGACAUCAGGAGGUUAGUGCAAUGGCAUAAGCUAGCUUGACUGCGAGCGUGACGGCGCGAGCAGGUGCGAAAGCAGGUCAUAGUGAUCCGGUGGUUCUGAAUGGAAGGGCCAUCGCUCAACGGAUAAAAGGUACUCCGGGGAUAACAGGCUGAUACCGCCCAAGAGUUCAUAUCGACGGCGGUGUUUGGCACCUCGAUGUCGGCUCAUCACAUCCUGGGGCUGAAGUAGGUCCCAAGGGUAUGGCUGUUCGCCAUUUAAAGUGGUACGCGAGCUGGGUUUAGAACGUCGUGAGACAGUUCGGUCCCUAUCUGCCGUGGGCGCUGGAGAAUUGAGGGGGGCUGCUCCUAGUACGAGAGGACCGGAGUGGACGCAUCACUGGUGUUCGGGUUGUCAUGCCAAUGGCACUGCCCGGUAGCUAAAUGCGGAAGAGAUAAGUGCUGAAAGCAUCUAAGCACGAAACUUGCCCCGAGAUGAGUUCUCCCUGAGACUUUAAGUCUCCUGAAGGAACGUUGAAGACGACGACGUUGAUAGGCCGGGUGUGUAAGCGCAGCGAUGCGUUGAGCUAACCGGUACUAAUGAACCGUGAGGCUUAACCUUACAACGCCGAAG